This is a long non-coding RNA of Haplochromis burtoni (Burton's mouthbrooder), 1102 nucleotides long. RefSeq lists it as uncharacterized. Lineage: Eukaryota; Metazoa; Chordata; Actinopteri; Cichliformes; Cichlidae. The transcript is spliced from 2 exons. The record is from RefSeq and is a predicted model, not a curated record.
GCAACAUCACAUCAGAAACACUCCCACCUCUGACCCAACUACCCAACCACAGCAGAGCGCUACUCUGGCAGGUCCAGCGUCAGCACCUGUAAACUGUCAGUGUUGAUUGGUCCGGGUCCAACAAACUGGUGGUUGGUAACCAGCAACAGCACUUCAGUGACGGGCACAAGAAGCUCUCUUUAAAAAGAAGAGUGAGGAGGUGCAGAAGGAGCUGCCUCCAGUCUGUAAGUGCUUCUGAACGUUAGCACUGCUAACACCUGCCUGCCCCACUGCCCACCCCGGAUCCUUACAGACUUACUCUCUGGACGCUCCCUGUUGCUCUCCCAGAUCUCUUACCCCUCCAUGCCUCGCCUGCUCCCGCAAAGAAUGACUUUGAGAAUUUUCUGCCUCCUAAUUCCUCGCUGGCCACAUCUCUCGGUUCCUGCACUGGACGUUACCCGGUGUCAGGUUCCUCACUCAGGUCUGCGAGAGCCCCAAGACUCCCUCAUGGACCCCACCUCCCAGUUAGACACAGUGGUUACAAAGCACCCUGUUUCUCAGUCUGUGUUGUGUUGCCUGUAAGCAUCAAUGUGUCAUAGAGGCACUCGAGCAGUCUCAUAGAAGUGAGGUAGCGCUCACAGUAAAGUGUUUGUAUUCUCAUGUUAGUGUUCUCAUUGAAGAAGUCAAGCUGAGCUCACAGUAUAGUAGUGGUACGCUCAUUCUCAGAAGUCAGGCUGUGUUUUCACUUUAGUAGUUCUAUACUCGUUCACAGCAAUUCUCAGAAAGGUUUAAGUUAUUGAAUUAUUUCCCGCUUAAUCGUUGUGUUUUGUAAUUAUUGCAUUCUUGUUCACUUUGUGUUUUCUCUCAGACUCUGUUUGCUUCGCUCAUACGCUCUGCGUCUCUGAGUGGUUUUCACAUCUGAGUCCAUUCACCUGUGUCUAGCUUUCUGGCUGUGACAUGAAGCGCCCAUGAUUCCCAGUAAAAGACUUCUACAAGAAAUAUGUGUUCAGUCUGUGUGCAUGUCUGUGUGUUUAAAGUCUGCAUAAAGAUGAUACAGGUUCAUCCACAGUGUUAGGUCCAUGUUCAUGUGCAUUAUUCAAAUCUAGUGGAGAGCGACAAAGAA